This 460-nucleotide ribosomal RNA is filed under the name uncultured bacterium. Its description in RNAcentral is "partial 16S ribosomal RNA". It matches the Rfam family "Bacterial small subunit ribosomal RNA", at positions 338 to 795 of the family's 1533-position model. The record is from RNAcentral.
CCUACGGGAGGCAGCAGUGAGGAAUAUUGGUCAAUGGCCGGAAGGCUGAACCAGCCAUGCCGCGUGAAGGUCAGUGCCCUUUGGGCGUUAAACUUCUUUUGUGCGGGAGCAAUAAUGGUCACGUGUGGCCAGACGAGAGUACCGUACGAAUAAGCAUCGGCUAACUCCGUGCCAGCAGCAGCGGUAAUACGGGGGAUGCAAGCGUUAUCCGGAUUUAUUGGGGUUGAAGGGUGAGUAGGCUGUGAGGUAAGUCAGCGGUGAAAUGCCCCCGCUCAACGGGGUGAAGUGCCAUUGAUACUGCCUUGCUGGAAUGCGGAUGACGUGGGAGGAAUGUGUGGUGUAGCGGUGAAAUGCAGAGAUAUCACACAGAACACCGAUUGCGAAGGCAUCUCACGAAUCCGCGAUUGACGCUGAUGCACGAAAGCGUGGGUAUCAAACAGGAUUAGAUACCCUAGUAGUC